Molecule: unclassified non-coding RNA, 303 nt
Filed under: plant metagenome
Description: partial contains 5.8S ribosomal RNA, internal transcribed spacer 2, and large subunit ribosomal RNA
Rfam family: 5.8S ribosomal RNA (bases 1-105)
Source: RNAcentral
GAAAUGCGAUAAGUAAUGUGAAUUGCAGAAUUCAGUGAAUCAUCGAAUCUUUGAACGCACAUUGCGCCCGCCAGUAUUCUGGCGGGCAUGCCUGUUCGAGCGUCAUUUCAACCAUCAAGCCCCGGGCUUGUGUUGGGGACCUGCGGCUGCCGCAGGCCCUGAAAAGCAGUGGCGGGCUCGCUGUCGCACCGAGCGUAGUAGCAUACAUCUCGCUCUGGGCGUGCUGCGGGUUCCGGCCGUUAAACCACCUUCGUAACCCAAGGUUGACCUCGGAUCAGGUAGGAAGACCCGCUGAACUUAAGC